Long non-coding RNA from Entelurus aequoreus (snake pipefish), 277 nucleotides. RefSeq lists it as uncharacterized. The transcript is spliced from 4 exons. The record is from RefSeq and is a predicted model, not a curated record. Lineage: Eukaryota; Metazoa; Chordata; Actinopteri; Syngnathiformes; Syngnathidae.
CGACGGUCUGAAGGAAUCUGCUCCCACACGUUGCGACCACUUCUCCGAAGACAGCAAGAACUCGACUCGGCGAAAGAAACAAGACUGAGGACACGCCCACCCCGCGUAAAGGAGACACACACACGAUGUUUCCAGUUGUCUCCAAUUGAGGUGAUCAGAAUAGACCGGAUAGCUUUCCGGGCACUGGAGUUUUUCCAGCUUUGGAGGUGUGUAGGAGCGAAAGACUUAAGGCGAUGGGAGAAUGUGCGCAAGGCCAGAUUUGACAGGGAACGCCCAC